UCUAGUUACUAUAGCAAAGAGGAUACACCUGUUCCCAUUCCGAACACAGAAGUUAAGCUCUUUAGCGCCGAUGGUACUUGGUGGGAAGCUGCCUGG
RNAcentral lists this ribosomal RNA (96 nucleotides) under Paraclostridium sp. AKS46. The record is from RNAcentral. Lineage: Bacteria; Bacillati; Bacillota; Clostridia; Peptostreptococcales; Peptostreptococcaceae.